CCUACGGGAGGCAGCAGUGGGGAAUCUUGCGCAAUGGGCGAAAGCCUGACGCAGCAACGCCGCGUGCGGGAUGAGGGCCUUCGGGUUGUAAACCGCUUUCAGCAGGGACGAAAAUGACGGUACCUGCAGAAGAAGCCCCGGCUAACUACGUGCCAGCAGCCGCGGUAAUACGUAGGGGGCAAGCGUUGUCCGGAUUUAUUGGGCGUAAAGAGCUCGUAGGCGGUUCCGUAAGUCGAGUGUGAAAAAUCUGGGCUCAACCCAGUGGAGCACUCGAUACUGCGGUGACUAGAGUACGGUAGAGGAGUGUGGAAUUCCUGGUGUAGCGGUGAAAUGCGCAGAUAUCAGGAGGAACACCAACGGCGAAGGCAGCACUCUGGGCCGGUACUGACGCUGAGGAGCGAAAGCGUGGGGAGCAAACAGGAUUAGAUACCCUGGUAGUCCACGCCGUAAACGUUGGGCACUAGGUGUGGGAAGGAAUCAACCCUUUCCGUGCCGUAGCUAACGCAUUAAGUGCCCCGCUGGGGAGUACGGCCGCAAGGCAAACGUCAAAGGAAUUGACGG
RNAcentral lists this ribosomal RNA (561 nucleotides) under uncultured bacterium. RNAcentral describes it as "bacterial SSU rRNA". It matches the Rfam family "Bacterial small subunit ribosomal RNA", at positions 338 to 916 of the family's 1533-position model. The record is from RNAcentral.